This 253-nucleotide ribosomal RNA is filed under the name uncultured bacterium. RNAcentral describes it as "partial 16S ribosomal RNA". It matches the Rfam family "Bacterial small subunit ribosomal RNA", at positions 524 to 776 of the family's 1533-position model. The record is from RNAcentral.
UACGUAGGGGGCAAGCGUUGUCCGGAUUCAUUGGGCGUAAAGAGCUCGUAGGCGGCCUGUCGCGUCGACUGUGAAAACCCAGGGCUCAACCCUGGGCCUGCAGUCGAUACGGGCAGGCUAGAGUGCAGUAGGGGAGACUGGAAUUCCUGGUGUAGCGGUGAAAUGCGCAGAUAUCAGGAGGAACACCGGUGGCGAAGGCGGGUCUCUGGGCUGUAACUGACGCUGAGGAGCGAAAGCGUGGGGAGCGAACAGG